This 363-nucleotide ribosomal RNA is filed under the name uncultured bacterium. Its description in RNAcentral is "partial 16S ribosomal RNA". It matches the Rfam family "Bacterial small subunit ribosomal RNA", at positions 338 to 698 of the family's 1533-position model. The record is from RNAcentral.
CCUACGGGUGGCAGCAGUGAGGAAUAUUGGUCAAUGGGCGAGAGCCUGAACCAGCCAAGUCGCGUGAAGGAUGACGGCCCUACGGGUUGUAAACUUCUUUUGUCAGGGAGCAAUUGGGUCCACGCGUGGGCUUAGCGAGAGUACCUGACGAAAAAGCAUCGGCUAACUCCGUUCCAGCAGCCGCGGUAAUACGGAGGAUGCGAGCGUUAUCCGGAUUUCUUGGGUUUAAAGGGUGCGUAGGCGGAAUAUCAAGUCAGUGGUAAAAAUUCGGGGCUCAACCCCGUCGUGCCGUUGAAACUGAUGUUCUUGAGUGGUCGAGAGGUAUGCAUAAUACUUGGUGUAGCGGUGAAAUGCCUAGAGCUC